UUGCCAGCCGCCGCGGUUAUACGAGAAGCCCAAGUUGUCAGCCUUCGGCGUAAAGAGUGGUUAGAAUAGCCCGUUUAAACUGAGGUCGAACACCUUCAAAGCAGUCAUACGCUCUCGAAGGCAUGAAGCACACUUACGAAAGUAACCUCACCCGAUUUGAACCCACGAAAGCUAAGACACAAACUGGGAUUAGAUACCCCACUAUGCCUAGCCCUAAACAACGACAUUAAUUACACUCAAACUCCGCCCGGGUACUACGAGCAUUAGCUUAAAACCCAAAGAACUUGGCGGG
This 292-nucleotide ribosomal RNA is filed under the name Lagocephalus inermis (smooth blaasop). RNAcentral's name for it is "partial 12S ribosomal RNA". It matches the Rfam family "Bacterial small subunit ribosomal RNA", at positions 505 to 917 of the family's 1533-position model. Lineage: Eukaryota; Metazoa; Chordata; Actinopteri; Tetraodontiformes; Tetraodontidae. The record is from RNAcentral.